Molecule: ribosomal RNA, 464 nt
Filed under: uncultured bacterium
Lineage: Bacteria
Description: bacterial SSU rRNA
Rfam family: Bacterial small subunit ribosomal RNA
Source: RNAcentral
GUCAGCUCGUGUUGUGAAAUGUUGGGUUAAGUCCCGCAACGAGCGCAACCCUUAUCCUUUGUUGCCAGCGAUUCGGUCGGGAACUCAAAGGAGACUGCCGGUGAUAAACCGGAGGAAGGUGGGGAUGACGUCAAGUCAUCAUGGCCCUUACGAGUAGGGCUACACACGUGCUACAAUGGCGUAUACAAAGAGAAGCGACCUCGCGAGAGCAAGCGGAACUCAUAAAGUACGUCGUAGUCCGGAUUGGAGUCUGCAACUCGACUCCAUGAAGUCGGAAUCGCUAGUAAUCGUAGAUCAGAAUGCUACGGUGAAUACGUUCCCGGGCCUUGUACACACCGCCCGUCACACCAUGGGAGUGGGUUGCAAAAGAAGUAGGUAGCUUAACCUUCGGGAGGGCGCUUACCACUUUGUGAUUCAUGACUGGGGUGAAGUCGUAACAAGGUAACCAAGGGCGAAUUCGCGGC